GAUGAACGCUGGCGGCGUGCCUAAUACAUGCAAGUCGAGCGAACAGACGAGGAGCUUGCUCCUCUGACGUUAGCGGCGGACGGGUGAGUAACACGUGGAUAACCUACCUAUAAGACUGGUAUAACUUCGGGAAACCGGAUCUAAUACCGGAUAAUAUAUUGAACCGCAUGGUUCAAUAGUGAAAGACGGUUUUGCUGUCACUUAUAGAUGGAUCCGAGCCGCAUUAGCUAGUUGGUAAGGUAACGGCCUACCAAGGCAACGAUUCGUAGCCGACGUGAGAGAGUGGUAGCCGGCCUUGGAACGUAGCCACGGUCCUGAGUACUGAGGGACGGAGCAGUCGCGUACGGGACGCAAUGGGGGAAAGCCUGACGCAGCGAGGCGGCGUGAGUGACAAAAGCCUUGCGAUCGUAAAAAUGUGUUAUGAGGGGAGAACCGAUGUGUACGUUAACAUGGCCGUAUUGACGGUAACUAAUAAGAAAGCAACGGCUAACUACGUG
RNAcentral lists this ribosomal RNA (497 nucleotides) under uncultured bacterium. Its description in RNAcentral is "partial 16S ribosomal RNA". It matches the Rfam family "Bacterial small subunit ribosomal RNA", at positions 28 to 507 of the family's 1533-position model. The record is from RNAcentral.